GUUGGUGUCGAUUGCGAUGAGGGUACACCCGUUCCCAUUCCGAACACGGAAGUUAAGCUCAUCUGCGCCGAAGAUACUUGGCUGGUAACGGCCCGGAACAAUAGGUGAUGCCAACA
Molecule: non-coding RNA, 116 nt
Organism: Clostridium sp. W14A
Lineage: Bacteria; Bacillati; Bacillota; Clostridia; Eubacteriales; Clostridiaceae
Source: Rfam